AAAGGAAUAGACGGGGACCCGCACAAGCAGCGGAGCAUGUGGUUUAAUUCGAAGCAACGCGAAGAACCUUACCAGGUCUUGACAUACCAUAGAACAAGCCUUAACCGGCGCGGUUCACUUCUAUGAAGUGACUGUGGAUACAGGUGGUGCAUGGUUGUCGUCAGCUCGUGUCGUGAGAUGUUGGGUUAAGUCCCGCAACGAGCGCAACCCUUGCAUUUAGUUGCCAUCAGGUAAAGCUGGGCACUCUAGAUGGACUGCCGUGGAUAACACGGAGGAAGGUGGGGAUGACGUCAAAUCAUCAUGCCCCUUAUGAUCUGGGCUACACACGUGCUACAAUGGACGGUACAACGGGGAGCGAAGCAGUGAUGUGGAGCAAAUCCUAAUAAGCCGUUCUUAGUUCGGAUUGUAGGCUGCAACUCGCCUACAUGAAGUCGGAGUUGCUAGUAAUCGCGGAUCAGAAUGUCGCGGUGAAUGCGUUCCCGGGUCUUGUACACACCGCCCGU
Molecule: ribosomal RNA, 503 nt
Filed under: uncultured bacterium
Lineage: Bacteria
Description: bacterial SSU rRNA
Rfam family: Bacterial small subunit ribosomal RNA
Source: RNAcentral